UCAUAGCGACUAUCGUGGCAUAUCAAUAAGCGGAGGAAAAGAAACUAACAAGGAUUCCCUUAGUAACGGCGAGUGAAGCGGGAAGAGCCCAAAUCUGAAAUCUUCAAGGUUCUACCUUGACGAAUUGUAGUUUAAAGAAGUGUUUUCUGUUGGAGUUUUGGUAAAAGUUCUUUGGAAUAGGACAUCAUAGAGGGUGAGAAUCCCGUAUUUGACCAUUAUCUCCAACUUUGUGAUACACUUUCAAAGAGUCGGAUUGUUUGGGAAUGCAGUCCAAAAUGGGUGGUAAAUUUCAUCUAAAGCUAAAUAUUGGCGAGAGACCGAUAGCGAACAAGUACCGUGAGGGAAAGAUGAAAAGAACUUUGAAAAGAGAGUUAAACAGUACGUGAAAUUGUCUAAAGGGAAGCGUUUGACACCAGUGUUGUUUUCUCGAAAAUCAAUUAAAAAUGAUGGGCUUUAUGCUAGGUUGUUAUGACUUUAUCAGCUUACUGUCUACUUUUUCUUAUCUUUGUUAAUGCACUUUUCGUUUAACAAGUCAACAUCAAUUUCUUUUGUUGUAAAAGAGUCAUGAGGAAGGUGGCUUUCUUUCUCGGAGAAAGUGUUUAUAGCCUUGUGCUUCUGCAAUCGGAGAGAUUGAGGUCUGCAGCGUAGAUCCUUCGGGGUUAGAUACAUUUGUGCUAAGUUAUAGCCUUUCAUAGACAACUUGUUGACUAUGAUCAGUCAUGUAGCUUACUCGCUUAUGUCUAUUUUACCUACGCUUAGGAUGUUGAUAUGCAUGACUGAUAU
RNAcentral lists this ribosomal RNA (783 nucleotides) under uncultured Neocallimastigales. Its description in RNAcentral is "partial large subunit ribosomal RNA". It matches the Rfam family "Eukaryotic large subunit ribosomal RNA", at positions 22 to 629 of the family's 3401-position model. Lineage: Eukaryota; Fungi; Neocallimastigomycota; Neocallimastigomycetes; Neocallimastigales. The record is from RNAcentral.